GAUGAACGCUAGCGACAGGCCUAACACAUGCAAGUCGAGGGGCAGCACAUGAGUAGCAAUACGAUGGUGGCGACCGGCGCACGGGUGAGUAACACGUAUGCAACCUGCCUUCUACUAUGGGAUAACCCGUUGAAAGACGGACUAAUACCGCAUAAUACAGGGGCUCCGCAUGGAGAUAUUUGUUAAAGAUUUAUUGGUAGAAGAUGGGCAUGCGUAUGAUUAGAUAGUUGGUGAGGUAACGGCUCACCAAGUCAACGAUCAUUAGGGGUUCUGAGAGGAAGGUCCCCCAAACUGGUACUGAGACACGGACCAGACCGCUACGGGAGGCAGCAGUGAGGAAUAUUGGUCAAUGGACGAGAGUCUGAACCAGCCAAGUCGCGUGAAGGAAGACGGUUCUAUGAAUUGUAAACUUCUUUUGUGCAGGAAUAAAGUGGGUUACGUGUAACCUUUUGUAUGUACUGUACGAAUAAGGAUCGGCUAACGCCGUGCCAGCAGCCGCCGCAG
Molecule: ribosomal RNA, 504 nt
Filed under: uncultured bacterium
Lineage: Bacteria
Description: partial 16S ribosomal RNA
Rfam family: Bacterial small subunit ribosomal RNA
Source: RNAcentral